Molecule: long non-coding RNA, 387 nt
Filed under: Elaeis guineensis (African oil palm)
Lineage: Eukaryota; Viridiplantae; Streptophyta; Magnoliopsida; Arecales; Arecaceae
Description: long non-coding RNA (EGUI_LNC028821)
Source: RNAcentral
GUCUCCUGGACGGAAGAGCUUCAGCUUAACCUUUGUAUUAUAAGAUCAGGCUAUUCUUUGUCGAUAUGCUGCCAUUUGAAGUUGAGCUUGCUGUCAGACUUCUGGAAGUAGAUCUAGAUCGGCUCUCCAACAUUCGAAAUUGCUCAGCUCACUGUAUUGCUCAACCCUUGUUGAAGGUAAUCCGAUCUCAAGUGGAAUCAUUGCUUCUGUUCCAUAGGCUAAAUUGAAUGAUGAUUCAGUCAUUGGUAUACAAAGAAUCGUUCGGUAUGCCCAUAAGAUCGGAUAUAGUUUUUUUAUCCAAAGACCUUUAGCUUCAUUCAGUCUAGUUUUGAGUCCAUACAGAAUUAUCCAGUUGGUUACUUCCACCUCUUCAUUGGAUUAUGGAUG